AUUGAACACUGGCGGCAGGCCUAACACAUGCAAGUCGAACGAGUGGCGGACGGGUGAGUAAUGUCUGGGAAACUGCCCGAUGGAGGGGGAUAACUACGGGAAACAGUAGCUAAUACCGCAUACCAUCGGAUGUGCCCAUAUGGGAUUAGCUAGUAUGUGGGGUAACGGCUCACCUAGGCGACGAUCACUAGCUGGUCUGAGAGGAGGACCAUCCACACGGGAAAUGAGACAGGUUACAGACUCCUACGGGAGGCAGCAGUGGGUAAGAUUGCACAAUGGGCGAAAGCCUGAUGCAGCCAUGCCGCGUGGAUGAAGAAGGCCUUCGGGUUUUAAAGUACUUUCAGCGAGGAGGCGUUACUCGCAGAAGAAGCACCGGCUAACUCCGUGCCAGCAGCCGCGGUAAUAA
This 406-nucleotide ribosomal RNA is filed under the name uncultured bacterium. Its description in RNAcentral is "partial 16S ribosomal RNA". It matches the Rfam family "Bacterial small subunit ribosomal RNA", at positions 30 to 526 of the family's 1533-position model. The record is from RNAcentral.